GCCCACACGGUGGAUCUGCCAGCCUGCAGCAGAGGACAGAAUACGGAGACGUUCUGGUACCAGGAGGGAGACAAAGUCAUUCCAGCCACCAUGGGCCUGGUCCCUUCGGAUCUGACCAGCGUGGGGCAUCGCAGCUCGGGGUUAGUGUUCUAUGAGCACAGGCGGAGUUCCGUGGUGUUGAACUUACCUGGACUUGAAGUGUUCCCCGGGGACCUCCUGGUGUCUGACGGAGCUGCCGAUUAUCUGUGCCACCCACUUCUGCUGCUGAAUUCAGAAUCCAAAAAACCAAGAUGGCCUUUCUCCAAGAGAGGAGCGGUAAGUGCUGUACAUUGUAAUUUUUGUUUAUAAUUCAGCCGCUGGUAGCUAAGGAAGUAAGAAAUGGCUGAAAAGCCUCUUCCCCCUGCUUCUUAUCUGCAUAAAGGCGGGUGGCACAGAGUCUAAGUGACUUUGUCACAGCCGCAGCACUCACUGCAGGAAGUGUCAAAUGGUGCUACUGGUCCAGUGAAACAGCGUUAAUCACCGGUGGUUAACAAGUUCUACAAAACAAGCAAAGCAAUUCCAACUUGGUGUGGCUUUACAGCACUACAUUUACACUUAGUGCAACUCAUUAAGCAGCUCACUCGGUGAGGGGAAUUUGAACAAGUGUGUGCCCCAAGUUGCAGGCAGUACCUUGUAUAUUGGGAACAUUGAAAAAUUAAUGAGAUGUCACAUGAACCAGAUUCUACAAAUACACGACCACUUCUGGGAAAGUCAGUUGGAUACAUUCUAGUAGGUUUUGUAUUUGUUUUUUUUUGUUUUUUUUUUUAAUUCAUUCUCGACUCCAGCAAUUAUUGAAGAGUAAUAAAUCUAAGUCAGUGCUCCCUGGGAGUCUUCACUACCUAGGACAUGUGUGGUCUAGGCUGUGCCUCUCCUGCUGGCUCAUUGACGGUAGAGGGAGGGGGUGUUCAUGAUCUUAGGCUCUGUCCUCCGGGUCCCUGGAGGAAGCAGAGCUGAUGUGUGUGCUCCUGACAGUUCCAACACGGAUACACUGCAGCCAGUGGGGGGCAGCAGCGCCCUGGGGAAGCUACUGUACUUUGGUUGGUUCAAACCAUGCGCUGCCCUCAGGGUCUCUCCCAUCAGAGACAGUCACUGACAUCUGCGAUGUCUCUAUGGACACAGAUACCUUGGAAACUUGAAGUCCAGUAGCUGAAUUAAAAGUCCUCUAAGGUUCCAAUCCUAGCUGCUGCUCUCACUGCUUCAUGACCUUGGCCACAUGAAUUAACUCCCUCAGCUUCGGAGCUCUUCCGGUAGAAGGCAGGAAGUCCUAAUGGCAGCCCCACAGGAAGUUGUGAUGACCAUGUGUUACACAUGAAGUUUUCCCCAGACCUUGUAAACUU
This 1376-nucleotide long non-coding RNA is filed under the name Fukomys damarensis (Damara mole-rat). Its description in RNAcentral is "lncRNA (ENSFDAG00000029565.1)". Lineage: Eukaryota; Metazoa; Chordata; Mammalia; Rodentia; Bathyergidae. The record is from RNAcentral.